RNAcentral lists this ribosomal RNA (253 nucleotides) under uncultured bacterium. RNAcentral's name for it is "partial 16S ribosomal RNA". It matches the Rfam family "Bacterial small subunit ribosomal RNA", at positions 524 to 776 of the family's 1533-position model. The record is from RNAcentral.
UACGUAGGGUGCGAGCGUUGUCCGGAAUUACUGGGCGUAAAGAGCUCGUAGGUGGUUUGUCGCGUUGUUCGUGAAAACCGGGGGCUUAACCCUCGGCGUGCGGGCGAUACGGGCAGACUUGAGUACUGCAGGGGAGACCGGAAUUCCUGGUGUAGCGGUGAAAUGCGCAGAUAUCAGGAGGAACACCGGUGGCGAAGGCGGGUCUCUGGGCCGAUACUGACGCUGAGGAGCGAAAGCGUGGGGAGCGAACAGG